CGAGAGGCCACCAAUGAAAAUGCGCGGCGGGACCUUCCUCUCCGUCCUCUCCGUUUCCACGCGCGCGCGCUCCUCGCAGAGGCUGGCUCCCGGCAGGAGGCUCGGAAGCGUCCCGGGUGCGUGCCAAGCGGACGUGCGGGAGCGCGCGUUCAGGGCCUCUCGUCUGCCUUUUCGAGAUUCCCAAAGAUGUCAACUCAAGGACAUACUUGGGCCCGUCAGGUGAAGAAAGAGGGUGAGGAAGAGGACCCCCUGGACCUGCUGAUCUCCCGCUCUGGCUGUGCUGCUUCCCACUAUGCAGUGCAGGAGUGCAUGGCCCAGCACCAGGACUGGCGACAGUGCCAGCCACAGGUGCAGGCCUUCAAGGACUGCAUGAGUGAACAGCAGGCAAGACGGCGAGAGGAGCUGCAGAGGAGGAAGGAGCAAGACAGUACCCACAGCUGAGCUCCCAAACCAUCUAUCCCCAGAGCAUGGCCUGCAGAAACUAGCACCCGGACAAAUCCUAAACAGUGGAAGUGUGGGCCAAAAGAGGAGGAAAUACAGGUCAGAUUGAGGAUCGGACUCCAAGUGUAUCUUGUUCUAGAGCCUAUGCUGUUUUCUGCUCUGCUCUUUCACAAGCAUCUGGUGCCUAGUAUGAUGCUUAACACAGUAAGUAACCACAUUUACUAUGUAAACAUUACUGUACUUUACAAAAGGAGAUUAACCAGUGGAGGUGCCCAGUGUUAUAGACUGGCAUGGUGUUUUUGUGUGGGUUUUUUUUUGGUCUCAGUUCUACAGCCCACAGCUAUGGAGCUAGAGUUUAAGGUGGUCCAUGCAUGUCCCUGUACAAUCCACACCUACCCCUGCAGAGAGGCUUGGUGUCUUGGGAUGAAUAGAGAGACCUCUUAGCUGGCUGUCCCCCUGGGGUAGGCCUAGGACAGACUCAUGAUUUGGCUCUUCCCUGCGAGGUCCUUGGCUGGGGACUUGGCCUGUGUUCAGUGGAAAGGUGCCCUGUACUGUGUUUUACUAGAUGAGUAAUAAGAUAUUCCUCGCACUUGCACUCCCUCAGGUACAGUUGCCAAACUUUUCUUUCUUCAGAGCCUGAUUAUUUUGUCUAAAUGGUGAGCUGAUUCCCUAAACCUGAAAUUUCUGAGAAUGAAAGUUAUUCCAGGGGGGUUAUAAGAACUAAAUGAAUCACUUUAGGUUUUCCAGGGAGAGCAGACAUUUGGAGACAAAAACGGCACAAAGAGAUCAAAGUACUACAUGUAAAACAGCAUGAGACACACUGGCCACCCCCAUCUGCAGUGCCUUUGCAGCAGGUCUACUUUUAGACCCGCGCUUUCCUUCCUCUACGUACUUUACAUUCUAGAAACAGUGGGAACCAGGGAUCUCAGCAUUGCUGUGGUGUCUGAAUGGCCAAAAUAUCCAGAUUUCACUUCUUUCUCUGCAACUAAAACUCCCUUUCAGGAUCCACAGUGGGCAGUUUCCAGCUCUGUUGGGGGACAUAAGGCAUCCUCAGCCAGAGGAGAGGGACUAACAAAGCUGAGGAACCUACUGGCCGUAACUAGUAAAACUCCCCAUUUGACCCCAUCCUUCUUAAAAAUUACUGAUCUACAAAGAAAUCCAUUUCUAACCACCUCAAUGUGUACUGAACCAGGAAUUGAAUGACCUAGGGCAGUGAUGGCAAACCUAUGACACGCGUGUCAGAGCUGACACACGAACUCAUUUUUUUGGUUGAUUUUUCU
This is an RNA transcript of Myotis daubentonii (Daubenton's bat), 1721 nucleotides long. It is a transcript of the gene named cytochrome c oxidase assembly factor 4 homolog, mitochondrial, with no coding region annotated. The record is from RefSeq and is a predicted model, not a curated record. The transcript is spliced from 3 exons. Lineage: Eukaryota; Metazoa; Chordata; Mammalia; Chiroptera; Vespertilionidae.